RNAcentral lists this ribosomal RNA (485 nucleotides) under uncultured bacterium. RNAcentral describes it as "partial 16S ribosomal RNA". It matches the Rfam family "Bacterial small subunit ribosomal RNA", at positions 30 to 506 of the family's 1533-position model. The record is from RNAcentral.
AUUGAACGCUGGCGGCAUGCCUUACACAUGCAAGUCGAACGGCAGCACGGGUGCUUGCACCUGGUGGCGAGUGGCGAACGGGUGCGUAAUACAUCGGAACAUGUCCUGUAGUGGGGGAUAGCCCGGCGAAAGCCGGAUUAAUACCGCAUACGAUCUACGGAUGAAAGCGGGGGACCUUCGGGCCUCGCGCUAUAGGGUUGGCCGAUGGCUGAUUAGCUAGUUGGUGGGGUAAAGGCCUACCAAGGCGACGUUCAGUAGCUGGUCUGAGAGGACGACCAGACACACUGGGACUGAGACACGGCCCAGACUCCUACGGGAGGCAGCAGUGGGGAAUUUUGGACAAUGGGCGAAAGCCUGAUCCAGCAAUGCCGCGUGGGUGAAGAAGGCCUUCGGGUUGUAAAGCACUUUUGUCCGGAAAGAAAUCCUUGGCUCUAAUACAGUCGGGGGAUGACGGUACCGGAAGAAUAAGCACCGGCUAACUACGU